RNAcentral lists this long non-coding RNA (391 nucleotides) under Parus major (Great Tit). RNAcentral describes it as "lncRNA (ENSPMJG00000009741.1)". The record is from RNAcentral. Lineage: Eukaryota; Metazoa; Chordata; Aves; Passeriformes; Paridae.
UGGAGCCUGGUGAGCUCAAGAAUUUCUGACUUGGAAGGUGAACAUAACCAGACACAGGAAGAAACUGUUCCCUCAUCUGGCUUAUGUGUACUUUGUCCAAGUUUAGUAUUUUGUUAUUGCUUCCUACCUUCACCCCCACCCCCUGGAAGCCUCACUCUUGUCAAGCCCAAGGGUGUCCAAGGUUGCAAUGAAAAGUGGAGAUUGUGAGCUGUGCCCCUGCAAGACAGCAGGAAACAAAAACCCCUGGAAAAGCAAAGCGUGGCAGGAGCUGCCAUCCACAGUAAUAUUCAACAUCAGCUCACUGCCUCAGGAUGUCAUUCCAGGCUGUGACAGAAGGUUGUCCUGCCAGUGCCUCCUGUGCAGCUUCUUGCAUCUGCUUUUGAAUCCUUAG